Molecule: ribosomal RNA, 497 nt
Filed under: uncultured bacterium
Lineage: Bacteria
Description: partial 16S ribosomal RNA
Rfam family: Bacterial small subunit ribosomal RNA
Source: RNAcentral
GAUGAACGCUGGCGGCGUGCCUAAUACAUGCAAGUCGAGCGAACAGAUGAGGAGCUUGCUCCUCUGACGUUUGCGGAGGACGGGUGAGUAACACGUGGAUACCCUACCUGUCAGACUGGGAACACUUCGGGAAACCGGCGCUUAUCGCGGAUGAUCUCUUGAACCGCAUUGGUCAAUGGAGAAAGACGGUUUUGCGGUAACUUAUAGAUGGAUACGCGCCGGAUUAGGUAGUUGGUGAGGUAACGGGUUACCACGGCAACGAGGCGUAGCCGAGCUGAGAGGGGGGUCGGCCGCAUGGGAGCGGAAACACGGUCAUGACGACUGCGGGACGCAGCAGUAGGGAAUGGGCCGCAAUAGGCGGAAGCCUGACAGAACAAGGGCGCGUGAGUGAUGAAGGUCUUCGGAUCGUAAAACUCUGUUAUUAGGGAAGAACAGAUUUGUAAGUAACUGUGCACGUCUUGACGGUACCUAGUCAGAAAGCCACGGCUAACUACGUG